AGCAACCUACCUUAGAGUUCGGGAUAGCCCUGAGAAAUCAGGAUUAAUACCGGAUGUGGUCACGGGGAGACAUCUCCCUGUGAGUAAAGGCGCAAGCCGCUCAAUGAUGGGCUCGCGGCUUAUUAGCUUGUUGGUGGGGUAACGGCCUACCAAGGCGAUGAUGAGUAGCUGGUCUGAGAGGACGGUCAGCCACACUGGGACUGAGACACGGCCCAG
This 216-nucleotide ribosomal RNA is filed under the name uncultured bacterium. RNAcentral describes it as "partial 16S ribosomal RNA". It matches the Rfam family "Bacterial small subunit ribosomal RNA", at positions 120 to 334 of the family's 1533-position model. The record is from RNAcentral.